This 1370-nucleotide ribosomal RNA is filed under the name uncultured bacterium. RNAcentral's name for it is "16S ribosomal RNA". It matches the Rfam family "Bacterial small subunit ribosomal RNA", at positions 18 to 1396 of the family's 1533-position model. The record is from RNAcentral.
CCUGGCUCAGUACGAACGCUGGCGGCGUGCUUAACACAUGCAAGUCGAACGGAAAGGCCCUGCUUUUGUGGGGUGCUCGAGUGGCGAACGGGUGAGUAACACGUGAGUAACCUGCCCUUGACUUUGGGAUAACUUCAGGAAACUGGGGCUAAUACCGGAUAGGAGCUCCUGCUGCAUGGUGGGGGUUGGAAAGUUUCGGCGGUUGGGGAUGGACUCGCGGCUUAUCAGCUUGUUGGUGGGGUAGUGGCUUACCAAGGCUUUGACGGGUAGCCGGCCUGAGAGGGUGACCGGCCACAUUGGGACUGAGAUACGGCCCAGACUCCUACGGGAGGCAGCAGUGGGGAAUAUUGCACAAUGGGCGGAAGCCUGAUGCAGCAACGCCGCGUGCGGGAUGACGGCCUUCGGGUUGUAAACCGCUUUCGCCUGUGACGAAGCGUGAGUGACGGUAAUGGGUAAAGAAGCACCGGCUAACUACGUGCCAGCAGCCGCGGUGAUACGUAGGGUGCGAGCGUUGUCCGGAUUUAUUGGGCGUAAAGGGCUCGUAGGUGGUUGAUCGCGUCGGAAGUGUAAUCUUGGGGCUUAACCCUGAGCGUGCUUUCGAUACGGGUUGACUUGAGGAAGGUAGGGGAGAAUGGAAUUCCUGGUGGAGCGGUGGAAUGCGCAGAUAUCAGGAGGAACACCAGUGGCGAAGGCGGUUCCUGGGCCUUUCCUGACGCUGAGGAGCGAAAGCGUGGGGAGCGAACAGGCUUAGAUACCCUGGUAGUCCACGCUGUAAACGGUGGGUACUAGGUGUGGGGUCCAUUCCACGGGUUCCGCGCCGUAGCUAACGCUUUAAGUACCCCGCCUGGGGAGUACGGCCGCAAGGCUAAAACUCAAAGGAAUUGACGGGGCCCCGCACAAGCGGCGGAGCAUGCGGAUUAAUUCGAUGCAACGCGUAGAACCUUACCUGGGUUUGACAUGGAUCGGGAGUGCUCAGAGAUGGGUGUGCCUCUUUUGGGGUCGGUUCACAGGUGGUGCAUGGCUGUCGUCAGCUCGUGUCGUGAGAUGUUGGGUUAAGUCCCGCAACGAGCGCAACCCUUGUUCACUGUUGCCAGCACGUUAUGGUGGGGACUCAGUGGAGACCGCCGGGGUCAACUCGGAGGAAGGUGGGGAUGACGUCAAGUCAUCAUGCCCCUUAUGUCCAGGGCUUCACGCAUGCUACAAUGGCUGGUACAGAGAGUGGCGAGCCUGUGAGGGUGAGCGAAUCUCGGAAAGCCGGUCUCAGUUCGGAUUGGGGUCUGCAACUCGACCUCAUGAAGUCGGAGUCGCUAGUAAUCGCAGAUCAGCAACGCUGCGGUGAAUACGUUCCCGGGGCUUGUACACACCGCCCG